Molecule: ribosomal RNA, 414 nt
Filed under: uncultured bacterium
Lineage: Bacteria
Description: bacterial SSU rRNA
Rfam family: Bacterial small subunit ribosomal RNA
Source: RNAcentral
GAUGAACGCUGGCGGCGUGCCUAAUACAUGCAAGUCGUGCGGCAGCGGAUUCUGCACUAUCAACUUGAAGCCUGGACGCGGGGAUUUCCAAAGGAAAUCAGCCGCAUCACUCCGAAAGGAGUGAAGGUCUGGGAUUAGUUCGAAGGGAUAGUGCAGAAUGCCGGCGAGCGGCGGACGGGUGAGUAACACGUAGGAAUGUACCCCAAAGUGAGGGAUAAGCAUCGGAAACGGUGUCUAAUACCGCAUAUGGUCUUCGGAUUAAAGGAUUUAUCCGCUUUGGGCACAGCCUGCGCCCGAUUAGGUUGUUGGUGAGGUAAUGGCUCACCAAGCCCACGAUCGGUAGCUGGUCUGAGAGGAUGAUCAGCCACACUGGAACUGAGACACGGUCCAGACUCCUACGGGGAGCAGCAGUAA